RNAcentral lists this ribosomal RNA (267 nucleotides) under uncultured bacterium. Its description in RNAcentral is "partial small subunit ribosomal RNA". It matches the Rfam family "Bacterial small subunit ribosomal RNA", at positions 26 to 287 of the family's 1533-position model. The record is from RNAcentral.
AGAACGAACGCUGGCGGCGUGGAUAAGACAUGCAAGUCGAACGCUACUUAUUUUGUUAGCAAUAACGAAGUAAGUGGAGUGGCGAAAGGGUGCGUAACACGUGGGAAUUUACCAAGAAGUGGGGAAUAGCUCAGCGAAAGCUGAAUUAAUACCGCAUAUGAUCGAAAGAUCAAAGCCGGGGACCGCAAGGCCUGGCGCUUUUUGAGAAGCCCGCGGCCCAUCAGCUAGUUGGCGAGGUAAAAGCUCACCAAGGCUAUGACGGGUAGC